Molecule: ribosomal RNA, 812 nt
Filed under: uncultured bacterium
Lineage: Bacteria
Description: bacterial SSU rRNA
Rfam family: Bacterial small subunit ribosomal RNA
Source: RNAcentral
AGAGUUUGAUCCUGGCUCAGGACGAACGCUGGCGGCGUGCCUAAUACAUGCAAGUCGAACGCUUCUUUCCUCCCGAGUGCUCGCACUCAAUUGGAAAGAGGAGUGGCGGACGGGUGAGUAACACGUGGGUAACCUACCCAUCAAAGGGGGAUAACACUUGGAAACAGGUGCUAAUACCGCAUAACAGUUUAUGCCGCAUGGCAUAAGAGUGAAAGGCGCUUUCGGGUGUCGCUGAUGGAUGGACCCGCGGUGCAUUAGCUAGUUGGUGAGGUAACGGCUCACCAAGGCCACGAUGCAUAGCCGACCCGAGAGGGUGAUCGGCCACACUGGGACUGAGACACGGCCCAGACUCCUACGGGAGGCAGCAGUAGGGAAUCUUCGGCAAUGGACGAAAGUCUGACCGAGCAACGCCGCGUGAGUGAAGAAGGUUUUCGGAUCGUAAAACUCUGUUGUUAGAGAAGAACAAGGACGUUAGUAACUGAACGUCCCCCGACGGUAUCCAACCAGAAAGCCACGGCUAACUACGUGCCAGCAGCCGCGGUAAUACGUAGGUGGCAAGCGUUGUCCGGAUUUAUUGGGCGUAAAGCGAGCGCAGGCGGUUUCUUAAGUCUGAUGUGAAAGCCCCCGGCUCAACCGGGGAGGGUCAUUGGAAACUGGGGAGACUUGAGUGCAGAAGAGGAGAGUGGAAUUUCCAUGUGUAGCGGUGAAAUGCGUAGAUAUAUGGAGGAACACCAGUGGCGAAUGCUGCUCUCUGGUCUGUAACUGACGCUGAGGCUCGAAAGCGUGGGGAGCAACAGGAUUAGAUACUCUGG